Molecule: ribosomal RNA, 405 nt
Filed under: Listeria monocytogenes
Lineage: Bacteria; Bacillati; Bacillota; Bacilli; Caryophanales; Listeriaceae
Description: bacterial SSU rRNA
Rfam family: Bacterial small subunit ribosomal RNA
Source: RNAcentral
CACUCUAAGUUGACUGCCGGUGACAAACCGGAGGAAGGUGGGGAUGACGUCAAAUCAUCAUGCCCCUUAUGAUUUGGGCUACACACGUGCUACAAUGGACAAUACAAAGGGUAGCGAAACCGCGAGGUCAAGCAAAUCCCAUAAAGUUGUUCUCAGUUCGGAUUGUAGUCUGCAACUCGACUAUAUGAAGCUGGAAUCGCUAGUAAUCGUAGAUCAGCAUGCUACGGUGAAUACGUUCCCGGGUCUUGUACACACCGCCCGUCACACCACGAGAGUUUGUAACACCCGAAGCCGGUGGAGUAACCAUUUGGAGCUAGCCGUCGAAGGUGGGACAAAUGAUUGGGGUGAAGUCGUAACAAGGUAGCCGUAUCGGAAGGUGCGGCUGGAUCACCUCCUUUCUAAGGA